AUUUAGAUCACUUAAAAUAGUAGAUAAUAAACUAAGAAGAUUCCAUUAUGUAUAUGGAAAAUUCCAAAUAACAUUAUUUAACUAUCCCCUUCAUCUCCAAAGGCUCCACAGUCAAGGAUUGCAUUAUAGCUGUAAACGGGCUAGUGAUCUAUCACAACAACAAGUUGAAGACACUACUGGCCACGCUCAACAAAGAGACCAAGGAUUCGACUUUCAUGUUCAUUGAUUACUACAACGCCUUCUUGACCGUUUUCAAGAACAAUGGAGAGACUCCAGUUAAGAAAAAGUAAAACACAACAUUCUUGAAAUCCAUAUUUUCAAGGCUUUUAUAUAUUGUGUGAUUGGUUAUGGAAAUGUAGGGAGUACGCGGUUUAAAACUCCGUUGAAAGAAUGUUGAGGAGGUGUUUGUGGGGUUGUGGACGAGAAAGGUCAGAAGAACUAUACCUUAUGCGAUGAUCCUAAGUCUACUUUCUUCUGGGAUGUACUUCACCCUACUCAGGCAGGAUGGAGCUCGGUUUACGCGGUUUUAGGCAAAAAUCUAACUGCAUCUUUGAUGAAAGCGUAAAUCCACUUAUCGUGAUCAAAGAACCGAAAUGGGUUCGAGAUUAACAAAAUUCUUCUUCUGUAGUUCGGUGUGUUUUUCUUCUCUUAUAUCUUUGUUAUCUCUCCCUCUUCUUUCGUUUGUGCUUGCAAGUCUUUGUGCCUCUAUCUAUGUAUUGUGUGUUAUAGAAUAAAAAUGUGAACUUUAAGAAAA
This 754-nucleotide unclassified non-coding RNA is filed under the name Arabidopsis thaliana (thale cress). The record is from RNAcentral. Lineage: Eukaryota; Viridiplantae; Streptophyta; Magnoliopsida; Brassicales; Brassicaceae.